UAGGGAAUCUUCGGCAAUGGACGAAAGUCUGAUCGAGCAACGCCGCGUGAGUGAAGAAGGUUUUCGGAUCGUAAAACUCUGUUGUUAGAGAAGAAUAAGGACGUUAGUAACUGAACGUCCCCUGACGGUAUCUAACCAGAAAGCCACGGCUUACUACGUGCCAGCAGCCGCGGUAAUACGUAGGUGGCAAGCGUUGUCCGGAUUUAUUGGGCGUAAAGCGAGCGCAGGCGGUUGCAUAAGUCUGAUGUGAAAGCCCGCGGCUCAACCGGGGAGGGUCAUUGGAAACUGGGAGACUUGAGUGCAGAAGAGGAGAGUGGAAUUCCAUGUGUAGCGGUGAAAUGCGUAGAUAUACGGAGGAACACCAGUGGCGAAGGCGGCUCUCUGGUCUGAAACUGACGCUGAGGCUCGAAAGCGUGGGGAGCAAACAGG
RNAcentral lists this ribosomal RNA (429 nucleotides) under Gemmatimonadota bacterium. RNAcentral describes it as "Gemmatimonadetes bacterium partial 16S ribosomal RNA". It matches the Rfam family "Bacterial small subunit ribosomal RNA", at positions 355 to 776 of the family's 1533-position model. The record is from RNAcentral. Lineage: Bacteria; Pseudomonadati; Gemmatimonadota.